RNAcentral lists this ribosomal RNA (467 nucleotides) under uncultured bacterium. Its description in RNAcentral is "partial 16S ribosomal RNA". It matches the Rfam family "Bacterial small subunit ribosomal RNA", at positions 29 to 507 of the family's 1533-position model. The record is from RNAcentral.
ACGCACGCUGGCGGCGUGCUUAACACCUGCAAGUCGAACGGAAAGGCCCUGCUUUUGUGGGGUGCUCGAGUGGCGAACGGGUGAGUAACACGUGAGUAACCUGCCCUUGACUUUGGGAUAACUUCAGGAAACUGGGGCUAAUACCGGAUAGGAGCUCCUGCUGCAUGGUGGGGGUUGGAAAGUUUCGGCGGUUGGGGAUGGACUCGCGGCUUAUCAGCUUGUUGGUGGGGUAGUGGCUUACCAAGGCUUUGACGGGUAGCCGGCCUGAGAGGGUGACCGGCCACAUUGGGACUGAGGUACGGCCCAGACUCCUACGGGAGGCAGCAGUGGGGAAUAUUGCACAAUGGGCGGAAGCCUGAUGCAGCAACGCCGCGUGCGGGAUGACGGCCUUCGGGCUGUAAACCGCUUUCGCCUGUGACGAAGCGUGAGUGACGGUAAUGGGUGAAGAAGCACCGGCUAACUACGUG